Ictalurus punctatus (channel catfish) is the source of this 9259-nucleotide long non-coding RNA. NCBI's taxonomy places the organism in Eukaryota, Metazoa, Chordata, Actinopteri, Siluriformes, Ictaluridae. The record is from Ensembl.
GAAAGAGAGAGUGGGCGAGAGCACGAGAGAGAAAGAGAGGGAGAGAGAACGGGAGAGAGAGGCGAGAGAGGGAGGGAGAAAGAGAGGAGAUGAUUUUAUGGAAAUAAACCUGAUUUGGGAAUUCAGGUUUGAAUUUUAGAAUGUGUGUGUGUGUGUGUGUGUGUGUGUGUGUGUGUGUGUGUGUGUGUGUCAGUGCAUUGCAUCAGCCAUACAUUAAGCCUCAGAGAUGGAAAAGCCCAGUUAAAACCUUUGCAGACACAAAUAAAGCGAUCUGUAGAAUCUGUGCCUUUGCUCUUCAACACACACACGCACACACACACACACACGCACGCACACGCACGCACGCACGCGCACGCACGCGUACACACACACAAACACACACUAAUAAAGACUACAUAUGUAUAUAGCACACACAGCACCUAGUCUUUCUUUCAGAUGGUCUGCUUCUUACUUCCUUUCAUUUCUGAAACUUUUUUUCUAAGCCACUUUUUCCCUAUUCACUAGGCCCCACUAGAGUAAAACGUACACACACACACACACACACACACACACACAUACACACACACACAUUACAGUUUCAUUACAGUUUAGUCCCCAUGUAAUUUUACACUCUCUGACCUCCCUGUAAAACACACUCAACAUGCCAAAGCGUAAACGCACCAGUAAGUAGCUACUUUCUCUCAUUUUUCUCUUUUCCCUUUCCCCCCAUCCCCUCUUUUUGUGUCUGCAACAUUGAGACCAUCUGGGAUGGGCCGCCUCGGUUGUCAUGGAGACGCACCGUGCCGGGUCGUCCGAUUGGCCGGUGUGUGCGGUGUGGCGUUGGACGAGGUGUGUCUCGUGUCCUCUGGGACGGGGGGGUUGGGGGGUGGGGGGGAGCUCACUCGAGCUUCAUGCAAUGCAAAUGCGGCACCUUUGAACUGAGGACGCCAAACCAACAUGGCCGCUCGAGAACAGGCAACACGGCUGUGCUCAGAAUGACAACGGCAGCUGGAGAAGGACAAAAAGAUUGCUAAUCAGCUCUCCAACGCACUUUUUCACAGCAUUUCAUGAGAAGAUGAAACUUCAACGAGAAGCAGAAGUUGGCGUUGUUUUCGUAUUCCGAGCAGCCAUGAGGAUGGGGGUUGCUUUAAAAAAAAAAAUCUUUUCUGUUCUUUAGCUGCUCAUGUUGCCAUAGGCAUGUUUGCCUCAGACUGAAUAAAUCCAAUAUGUGGAAAAAGUUAUGUUGCAUGGAGCUCCACCUUUGACACAUUAUCGAGAUGUUUGUGUUUUCAAACACCGGAGGCUUUUUUCCCCCUCUUUGUGUGCAUUUUUAGUUUUCUGCGUUUGUUGUUGUUAUUUAUUUUUGAAAUUUGUUCAUUAUUGUGUUUUUUUCUUUCUUAAACAGACCCGUAAGGGCGAUCCGGUUAUGCAGUAUUUUAUAACUAGUUACAGUUUUAAUAGCUUGUAACGUAACAGUGAGUAAAAUAAACGUUCAAAUGACAUCUACAGAUUACGCACUAAAUCUUUCAAAGCUCUCGCAAGCAUGAAGCUUACUUAAAGAAGCGCCCCGACGCAUCUCAACUCCAUCCCGAUCUACCACGUAGUGUAUGUAUACGUGCUUUCAGCAAACACGAAUUCUGAUGUUUCCCUGUUUACUGAAAAAAGAACAAAACUGAUUAUAAUUUUAAAAAAUUAUAAUGGAUGUUACGGGGCAGUUGUUGAAUUCUGUCGAUAAAUGUUUCAGCAUUUUUGAGGAAAGCUUACGUGAAUUUUCCAGUCAAACAUACACUUCUGUAUUAAACUCUUAUUCAGUACUGCAUUCAACUCUUAUUAUUGAGUACUGACAUCGCGCACACAUCACGGUAUUCACUGCACUUAAGUUGAUUUUCAUAAGUUGCGUAUAUUUCGAAUUCAAGUCCAGUUCUCUAUGGUGAAAACCAUCAAGUUAAACCAAAUUUCCAGAGCUUAAUGUGAUAAUUACUAGAACUGUUUUUUUUUUUUUUUUGUAAUCGUUUCCGUCUCUUGAAUUACAUUUGACAGCUUAAACAAAAAAAAAAAAAAAAAAAAAAAAAAAGUCUAGAUAAUAUUGAAAACAGUUUAACUCAAGGUAAAUCUGGCAACCUCAGAGAUGUGAACUAUUUUCAAAAUCUCAAUGGGGAGCACAGAAAGUUGACCUAGCUGAAGUCUGAAUACAUACAAACUCCCCCUUAGACUUAAGUCACAGUUUCUGAACAUGGCUCUAACAGUGUAAAAUUCAUUUUCCAUCAUUUUAAAGAUGGAACUCAUUUUUCAGAGAAAAACGUCUUCGUUUUUGGCCACGUGGAGACCACAAAACCUUUGGGAAGGCCGAAGUAACCAGAACUACUUUCAACUGUGUUUCUCCACUGUUGGAAAUUUGGAUGAACCUACAUUCUCUCAUGCUUGUCUCAUCCUUAGACCUGUAUUGCAGUCGCAUAACAUUUAUUGAUGAAAUUCAGCGGCUGCCCUCAAGCUUCUAUUAUAGGCAAACUUCAAGUACCUGGUUUUUUGGUUGUUGUUGUUGUUGUUGUUUUAAAUAUACAGGUAAAAUGUGUCAAAAUUCUUAGCUAUGAGCUACAGAGUGUGGAUUGAAAAGAGCCCGAGUAUUCCUUUAAUGCUAACGCACGUGUUUGCUUCUGUUUAAACCGAUACACUACACUAACCCCAGACGUCCAUGCGGUUAUACCGAGCCGUGUAUGUACGAAUGCAGCCUCCCUUUAAUCUGGAGGGAUUACUGCGUGACAAGCGGACCCUGCCCAGAUUAGCCUGAUCGGCAUGUGCCUGAACAGCGAUCAAUUCUGAACAACAGCGCUUUCGAUUAAUGAUGUACGCUAGCACGAGGAACUGUUGAGCCAAACGCCUCUGAUUAUUGCACACGGAGGAAAAAGUCACUCAACACGAGCCAAGACCGUCUGAUUUCCAAACAAGGCAGUGCGCGUCGCUCACCAGUCAGUGAUUUCGCACUUAACGCUACUAAUCCAACCUGAUCACUUAAGUCAAUGCAGGUUUCUGAAGAUGAGAAUUCAUCUUUAGGCAACUGUUGUUCAAAAGGUUGAUGAUGUAAUCACUAACACAGGGGUCAACAUCAAAAACUAUGGAAGGUGAGACAAAUAUAUGACUAGAAGUGACAAAUGAUGGCCCUUUUGGCUUUAUAUAAAAGGGGGGGGGGUGUGAGAGGAGGAGGAGAAGCAGGAAGGGUGCUCUUUGACGUUAGGUGCUGACACUCCAAUACUGAGUGAGUGCUGAGAGCUUUUCAGCUACAGUGGAAACGCUAUUGAUCGCAGCGCUGUCCUGUGCUGAGACGCUCUCAAAAAAACGCUUUGUCUUCCUUUAUUUAGCCAGACCCCUCUAUGUGUGUGCGUAUGUGUGUGUGUGUGUGUGUGUGUGUGUAGGAGUGAAAAAAGGAAGAAAAUGGUUGUAUUUAUAAGAGUAAGUUAUGUGUGGGUGGUGUAGCUGGUGUGUGUGAGUAUUAUAUGUGUGCGUUAGCAGGAAUGAAUAUACAGACAGAAAAGUAGACAGCAGAAAAGAAAGAGUGUUUGUGUGGGAGUGAGAGGAGGGGUCUACGACUAAGUGGCGUCUUGAGGCAUUACGUUAUCAUAUUACCAAAUGAACUUUAAUCACCCAUAUCAUAUACAUAUUAACGGCGAACAACGAGGAAUCCUCAAAGCUGGAAUUAACUGAAUAAAUUAAAACAUAAUGAAAAAUCUCCAUCUCGAGUCACUUACACAGCAAACCGUGCCAAAUCGCUAGCACGACAAGGACGGCGGAGAUCAUUUCACCCAUCUACAGUACACUCGCUAGCUUCUUUGUUCAGCUUUCAUUCUCACUCUUGGCGCAAAAGAUGUUUACAACAUGGUUUGCUACCAAGGAUAUACAGUAUACUAGGGUUACAAUAGCAGGCACGUGCAGAGGGUUCAUCAGGGUCAGGGGCUCAAAUGUAAAAAGGGCUAUAUCACCAAAGAGCUUACUACUUGAACUACUUUACUAACUUUAAUUUAACUACAUGAUCUCAUCACCCUGCUAGACACCGUACACAGACUGUGUGGGAUCAGAAAAAUAAAAAUGAGACUGACUCUACUAAUAUAACCUAAUGGUAUUUUAUUUUUUACAUUUAUAGAAUUAAUUACAACAAAACGGCAAUUUUUAGUGGAGAGAUGAAUCCAAAGAAUCGUGAAAAGAAAAUUUAAACAUUAGGGAAAGAAAAAAAACAAAAACUACAGUAUUUCCAUCCACAAGUGCGGUGACACACCCACUGUAUGUUACUUUCUGAAAAGUGAGUAAAACUAUUCAUCUCACAAUGAAAUUUACAUUCGGCAGCAGCACUGUGAUUUCCAUCCAAUCGCAGCACUGUUUGCAGAACUGGCUUUUUAGCCUCAACGCUCGUCAUUUUUGCCUUUUAGAUUCCAUUUUAAAAAGAUGAAUUGAGAUUUUUAUGAUCUUAUAUCGCACUUUUUUUCCCACAUCAUUUAGGCUACAGGACUAAAUUUACCAUAUUAAUUAAGAAGUGACUUUUGUAUAUAGUAUAACUACAGUUGCAAUCAAAAUUAUUCAGGUUUAUUGUCAAAAAUGUAGAGACUUUCAGCUGUUUGCGAUGAACAAAUCAAACAAAAGCAAGUGAAAUAGUUCAACACGACGAAGGCUUCAAGUGGUUUCCCCAAAUUCAACUGAAAAUGCAACUCAUAAUGAUUUCUCCAGUCUCAAAAUUAUUCAACCCCCGAAUAGAUUCCCACACAACAGCACAAACCGGUGUCGUCUCAAGCACACCUGGUGCAACUAAUCAAGGGCUUCAUUAGUUGCACCAGGUGUGCUUGAGGUUUACUCUACUGGUUUUUAUGAUUUCAAGAGUUGGUGCGAUGGUGGAGUUUUCCAAUAUGGCAGAACAGUCUUUCUGACAGAAUAGUCAGUCUUUUUCUUAGUAAUUUACCAACACAUCGGAGGAUAAUGUUGAUAUUACCAACAAUUCUGCCUUGUUUGCACUUCCACUACACUUUAAAAGACAUAAUCUAGCUAAACUGUUGAUCUCCUACAAUAUUAACUACGACUACAGCAAGUUUAUGGUGGGCUUACCUUUUUAAAUUGAAACAAAUAUCAAAUUGUUGAGAAUUUGACUAUAGCCACUUUAAAACACCACCAUACAACCGUGGCCGUAUGUAAGGAAUACAACACAACAGGGCGUGCUGUUAAAGACAAAUAAUUCACGACAAGGCGGUGGGAUACGAUAUUUACCACCCCGAAGUCGAUCCGUUUAGAAGUGUGUUUCCUCUUAUUAUGCAAACAAUUUGCCAACGAUUGCAAUUUUUUUUCCCCAUAUAUUAUAGAAAGACACACUAUCUGUGUCUAGUUAUGUCUUAUCAGCUAUAAACAGUUAUUCCCUCACUUUCUCUUGAAGACAGGAAGAACAGAGCUUGUUGUCGAGAAAGUUCAACGUCCUCCACCCUUACACGUCCUUUCCUGCUUUGGAAGACUUAAAGCAUUACCUCUGAUUGUUACAAAGUGCUGACACCUUCCAAAUGAACGUCUUGUCACAGAAAUCUUUUCAUACCAACGAAACAUUGGGGGGGGGGGGGGGGUUUCCCCAUUAACUAACACAUUUUGUAAUGUUUGUGGAGCCUCUGCUGUACAAGUCCCUGUGACUUAGCUGUUACUAUAACACACGAUAAAGCGAUAACACACUAGAAGAGUACAUUGAUAUGAACUUAUGAUUUAUAUUACAGCCAGUUUGACUGUCAGAGCUGCUGUUGUACUGACCAAUCGAGAAGUCAAGAGCACUGUGGGAUAAUUUGGUUGAACAUACUGUAUGUAUAUUUACCAGAAAUGACUAUAAUGUGCCACAGUGGUAUCAGGGUUUGAUAAUCAUAGUUACCAUGACGUUCCCUAUAGGGCUGGUGGUAAGAAUUAAAGGGGUGACAGAAGGAAGGGGACGGAAAUCGUGGUGGGAAAUGGUGUAUGAUAUUAAUUUUGCGAUAAAUAAUGACACAGUACUAUUUUUUUCAGCAAUUGUUAGCACGGUCACCUCACACCUCCAGGGUCGGGGGUUCGAUUCCCACCGUGGUCCUGUGUGUGCGGAGUUUGCAUGUUCUCCCCAUGCUGCGGGGGUUUCCUCCCCCAGUCCAAAGACAUGCAUGGUAGGCUGAUUGGCGUGUCCAAAGUGUCCGUAGUGUAUGAAUGGGUGUGUGAGUGUGUAUGUGAUUGUGCCCUGCAAUGGAUUGGUACCCUGUCCAGGAUGUACCCCGCCUUGUUCCCGAUGCUCCCUGGGAUAGGCUCCAGGUUUCCCCGUGACCCUGAAGGAAGGAUAAGCGGGAUAGAAGAUGGAUGGAUGGAUGGACAUUCUGUGUAUCGUAAAAAAAAUGUCUUCAAGUGUUGUGUUGUGAUGCAGUAUGUUUUGCCACAUCACCAACCCUUUGAAAAAAUCUACCAAACACAUUCACCCAAUUGAUUCUCAUUCAUUCUCAAGAGCUCCUGUCUGUGAUGUUUUACUAUGCUACUAGUUCAGAGAACAAGAACACACACCACCUACAUACACACAUAACUCAGCCUCUGGGAAAUACACACAGACGUUCCCCCAUUAAAGCCCGUCUGUGCACUGUAUACAAUACUCAGUGUUCAUGCAUCACUCUCCGCCUCUGUACCUCUGAAACCCACUUACAGAUUUAUACCAAACAAAACACACCCACAUACACACGAUUUAAAAAAUGGCACACGUUUUGGGAGGCAGCAGGAUUUCAGAAGGUAUCUUGUGAGUUUGUUUGUAAUUGUAUGUGUACCCGUUGUUGUUUUUUAUUUUUUAACAAUGGACAUUUAAUGAUAAAUGUCAGCACGGUCUAGACUGGUACAUUGAAGAGAGAACGAGUGUUACCAUUUUUUUUUUUUUUUUCAAACAGUCAGCUAUGAUAUAAUCAGUUGUGGGAGUUUAGAUGUGAGCGUACAGUGUGAAAAGAAUAAGAACUGUAAUACUUUAUAUUGCAGUGCCCCUAUUACAGCGUAAGAACCAGUGGAAUUACAAUAUACCUACACAUGAAUAAAAGUUUCUUAUGAUUAUUAAAUAUGUAAACACUGAUCAUUAGAACAUACUGUAUAGGAAGGUGUUCAAUUGCACUCCUGGGGCGGCUGUGGCUCAGGUGGUAGAGCGGGUUGUCCACUAAUCAUAGGGUUCGAUUCCCGGCCCACGUGACUCCACAUGCCGAAGUGUCCUUGGGCAAGACAUUGAACCCCAAGUUGCUCCCGAUUGCAAACUAGCACCUUGCAUAGCAGCCAUUGGUGUGUGAGUGUGUGUGUGUGUGUGUGUGUGUGAAUGGGUGAAUGAGACACAGUGUAAAGCGCUUUGUAGAAAUGCUAAGGUUAAAAGAAAAGCGCUGUAUAAAUACAGACCAUUUACCUGAAUUCCACAACCUGUUCCCUUGUGAUUCAGUAGGACUAAACAUUCACACAGGUCAAUGCAAAAGAAAUCUUGUAAUAUGUCUUCAUUUUAAGUUAGAACUAGAGGCAGGUUUCGUCGUUUUAUAUACACUCACCAUCCACUUUAUUAGGAACACCUGUACACCUGCACAUUAAUGCAGAGGUCUGGCAGCAGCACAAGAGCUUCAGUUCACUUCAGACAUCAGGAUGAAGAAAAAGUGUGAUCUCUGUGAUUUUGGUCGUGUCAUGGAGGCUGGUACCAGAUGGGCAGGGUUGAGUAAUUCAUAAACAGAAAAAAGAAGAAUCUGAGAAUCACCAGGUGAUUUUUUUUCCCCCCAGUAAUCUUCAACUGUCCAGUUUGGGUGAGUCUGUGCCCAUGAUAGCCUCAGGUUUCUGUUCCUGACUGACAGGAGUGGAACCCGAUGUGGUCUUUUGCUGUUGUAGCUCAUCCACCUCAAGGUUCGAUGUUUUGUGCGUUCUGAGAUGCUUUUCUGCUCACCACAGUCGUAAAGAGUGAUUACUUGAGUGACUAUAUCCUUCCUGGAAGCAUGAACCACUCCACAAACAGAACUGUCACCCACUCAGUGGUUCUUGUUUUUCGCACCGAUCUGUGUAAACUCUAGAGAAGGUCGAGUGUGAAACUCCGCGUAGAUCAUCAGUUUAUGAAAUACUCAAACCAGCCUAUCUGGUACCAACAUCCAUGCCACGAUCAAAGUCCCAGAGAUCACACUUUUUCUUCUUUCUGAUGUUUGAUGUGAACUGAAGCUCCUGAUCUGUAUCUGCAUGAUUUUUUGCAUUGUGCUGCUGCCACAUGAUUGGCUGAUUAGAUAACUGCAUGAAUGUGCCUGCACCGGUGCUCCAUAACGGAGUGGACGGAGUGUAUCUACUUGCAUUAAACAUUGAACUUCUGUUCAGGUCAUGAACGUGUGCUCAAUUCUCAUCAUCUGUUACAUUACAUUUACAGUGCAUUAGUAUGAAUGGGGUCUACUGGUUUUCAUCCCACUUGCUGUUCAUUUUCUAUAGAGACAGGCAAAUACCCUGAGUGAGGUCUAUGGGAACGAUCUUUUGUUUGUUUGUUUGUUUGUUUAACGUGGUGUGGUUUUAUGUCUCUUUAUGAGAUAUGUUCAUGCUCAUGGUGAUGUCAAGCAGCACACAGAGACAGACUUUCUCCAAAACAGGCAUAAUAUAACUACACUGAUUUAAAUUUCUCAUUUACUCAGCAAUUAAAUAUACACUGAAGAGGAAACACAUAUCGGUUUGUGUGUGGACAUUCAGCCGGGUGUAAUUAAAUAAGAAGUAAACACAACGAGGCAUGCAGGAAAAUAAUCAACAAUGUGGUGCUGAGAUUUCUCAAUGGAAAAAAAAAAAACCUCACAGAAUGGUUUGAAGUUAUUCACCGGCUCCGGAAAUGUCUUUCGCGUAUGUAAGCGAGCAUCCGGAGUUCUAAGUUUUCACUGAAUAUGGUGACAAUUGUACCAAUUUCAGAAAAAUUUAAUUGACUCUUAUUAUUUGUGUUUAUUCUGAAAUUCCAAGAAAGAAAUUUGAAGAUGAAUUUAAACAGCUCUUUUCGAUUGCAAAAUAAAUAAAUAAAUAAAUAAUCUAAAAUUCUCUUGUGUAUCAAGCCAUAUCAGGAAAAUGCCACCUGCCAGUAUUCUGAGAUGUAUGAGACUAAUAAGUCACACAUCAACAAACCCAUACACACACAGGCAACAGACUGUGUAUAUAUCUGUCGCCUGUGCGUGUGUGUGUGUGUGCGUGUGUGUAUGUGUACUGAUGUAUGUCUUAUCUAUUUUUUUAUAGCAAUUAAGUUAAUUGGCAGGUUAUGGUCAGUUAACAGUAAAGAACAUCCUGUAGCAGAAUGAUAUUU